This is a long non-coding RNA of Gossypium arboreum, 593 nucleotides long. RefSeq lists it as uncharacterized. The transcript is spliced from 3 exons. The record is from RefSeq and is a predicted model, not a curated record. Lineage: Eukaryota; Viridiplantae; Streptophyta; Magnoliopsida; Malvales; Malvaceae.
AAUAUAAUAAAUAAUUCAUGAAAAUGGAAAGAAAUAAAAGGGAAAAUAAAAAAAAAAGGAAAAAGAAAGGGGAGGGAAGAAGUUGGACGGCAAUAACAAGGAAGGGGAAAAGUAAACCAAGGUAUUCUUAUUUUCUUCCUUCCAUUCUCAUAUAUAUCUGGGGGCUGGUUGGAAUGAAAGAAAUUUCUGCUUGUUUUCGGGCUACUGUUUGAAUAGAGGGGGAGAAGAGAGCUGAUUGCAUGCUUGGUUUGGCUCGGCUGGGAGCUUAUUUUCUCAAGAAAUUCACUUAUUGAAGGAAAAUCCCUCUUCCAGUCGUCUAAAGGAAAAGGCAGCAGCAAGAUGGGGAAAGAGCUUGCUCAAGGCUAGGCUCGGCUUGGAAUUUCUGGUCAGGGAGUUGAAGAUGAAUAUGUGACAACCAGACGGUUAGGUUCAAUCGUGUGCACUCCUUAUCAAUAUCUAGCAGAAAAUCCCGCAUUCAUUGAGUUCGUGAUUUUUUUGUACUAUUUUUUGUCGGCAUGUACCUAUAAGAUUUUAUGAUAUAUUAAGUUUAGUUGGAGAAUUAUUUUAUAAUUCAAGAUUUUUUAUUUUGAGCA